CUUUAGUCUUCACACGUUCACUAGCCACAGCGAUAAUUAUAUGCACAUCGAACAUGAAGAUCAUUAGUUUCCGGAUCGUCGAUUCUCCACAGUAGAUCACAGAGUUCCAGAUUCCAGAUUUUCCAAAAUGAAGAUUCGUUCAUCGACGCCGAGGGUUCCGAGGUUCUGUAUCCAAAUUUAUACCUAGAUAAAAACAUUAUACAUCAAAAUAUUUUACAAUGUUGAUUGAUCUGAGUUUAAGAGUCCAUGGAAUGGAUAAAAACAAUUCUGCAGUAUACCUAAGCAAAUAGUAGUAUCAUAAAAGCAAGCUCAUGCAGAUUUA
Molecule: long non-coding RNA, 322 nt
Organism: Cephus cinctus (wheat stem sawfly)
Lineage: Eukaryota; Metazoa; Arthropoda; Insecta; Hymenoptera; Cephidae
Exons: 4
Source: RefSeq, a predicted model, not a curated record